Molecule: ribosomal RNA, 486 nt
Filed under: uncultured bacterium
Lineage: Bacteria
Description: partial 16S ribosomal RNA
Rfam family: Bacterial small subunit ribosomal RNA
Source: RNAcentral
AUUGAACGCUGGCGGCAUGCCUUACACAUGCAAGUCGAACGGCAGCACGGGUGCUUUCACCUGGUGGCGAGUGGCGAACGGGUGAGUAAUACAUCGGAACAUGUCCUGUAGUGGGGGAUAGCCCGGCGAAAGCCGGAUUAAUACCGCAUACGAUCUACGGAUGAAAGCGUGGGGCCUUCGGGCCUCGCGCUGUAGGGUUGGCCGAUGGCUGAUUAGCUAGUUGGUGGGGUAAAGGCCUACCAAGGCGACGAUCAGUAGCUGGUCUGAGAGGACGACCAGCGACACUGGGACUGAGACACGGCCAAGACUACUACGGGAGGCAGCAGUGUGGAAUUUUGGACAAUGGGCGAAAGCAUGAUACAGCAAUGCCGCGUGUGUGAAGAAGGCCUUCGGGUUGUAAAGAACUUUUGUCCGGAAAGAAAUCCUUGGCCCUAAUACGGUCGGGGGAUGACGGUACCGGAAGAAUAAGCACCGGCUAACUACGUG